This 365-nucleotide ribosomal RNA is filed under the name uncultured bacterium. Its description in RNAcentral is "bacterial SSU rRNA". It matches the Rfam family "Bacterial small subunit ribosomal RNA", at positions 527 to 890 of the family's 1533-position model. The record is from RNAcentral.
GAAGGGUGCAAGCGUUACUCGGAAUUACUGGGCGUAAAGCGUGCGUAGGUGGUUCGUUAAGUCUGAUGUGAAAGCCCUGGGCUCAACCUGGGAAUGGCAUUGGAAACUGGCGACCUAGAGUGCGGUAGAGGGCAGUGGAAUUCCCGGUGUAGCAGUGAAAUGCGUAGAGAUCGGGAGGAACAUCUGUGGCGAAGGCGACUGCCUGGACCAGCACUGACACUGAGGCACGAAAGCGUGGGGAGCAAACAGGAUUAGAUACCCUGGUAGUCCACGCCCUAAACGAUGCGAACUGGAUGUUGGGUGCAACUAGGCACUCAGUAUCGAAGCUAACGCGUUAAGUUCGCCGCCUGGGGAGUACGGUCGCA